This 498-nucleotide ribosomal RNA is filed under the name uncultured bacterium. Its description in RNAcentral is "partial 16S ribosomal RNA". It matches the Rfam family "Bacterial small subunit ribosomal RNA", at positions 28 to 507 of the family's 1533-position model. The record is from RNAcentral.
GAUGAACGCUGGCGGCGUGCCUAAUACAUGCAAGUCGAACGCACGGACGAGAAGCUUGCUCCUCUGAUGUUAGUGGCGGACGGGUGAGUAACACGUGGAUAACCUACCUAUUAGACUGGGAUAACUACGGGAAACCGGAGCUAAUACCGGAUAAUAUUUUGAACCGCAUGGUUCCAACGUAAAAGACGCUAUUGCUGUAACAUCUAGAUGACUUCGCGCUGCUUUAGCAAGUUGGUAAGGUAACGGCCUAACAAGGCAACGAUAGCUAGCCGACCCGAGAGGGGGGACGGGCAAACCGGGAACGGGAACAGGGCCAAGACUCCUACGGGGGGAAGCAGAGGGGAAUCUUGCGCAAGGGGCGAAGGCCUGACGGAGCAACGCGGGGGGGGGGAGGAGGGUCUUGGGAUCGAAAGACUCGUUGAUUGGGGAGAAAGAGUGGGGGAGUUAAAAGUGCACAUCGUGACGGUACCUAAUCAGAAAGCGACGGCUAACUACGUG